UACGGAGGAUGCAAGCGUUAUCCGGAAUGAUUGGGCGUAAAGCGUCCGCAGGUGGCCAUGUAAGUCUGCUGUUAAAGAGUCUAGCUCAACUAGAUAAGAGCAGUGGAAACUACAUAGCUAGAGUACGUUCGGGGCAGAGGGAAUUCCUGGUGUAGCGGUGAAAUGCGUAGAGAUCAGGAAGAACACCAGUGGCGAAGGCGCUCUGCUAGGCCGUAACUGACACUGAGGGACGAAAGCUAGGGGAGCGAAUGGG
RNAcentral lists this ribosomal RNA (253 nucleotides) under uncultured bacterium. RNAcentral describes it as "partial 16S ribosomal RNA". It matches the Rfam family "Bacterial small subunit ribosomal RNA", at positions 524 to 776 of the family's 1533-position model. The record is from RNAcentral.